RNAcentral lists this unclassified non-coding RNA (348 nucleotides) under soil metagenome. RNAcentral's name for it is "partial contains 5.8S ribosomal RNA, internal transcribed spacer 2, and large subunit ribosomal RNA". The stretch from base 1 to 120 matches the Rfam family "5.8S ribosomal RNA", at positions 35 to 154 of the family's 154-position model. The record is from RNAcentral.
GAUGAAGAACGUAGCAAAAUGCGAUAAGUAAUGUGAAUUGCAGAAUUCAGUGAAUCAUCGAAUCUUUGAACGCACAUUGCGCCCGCUGGUAUUCCGGCGGGCAUGCCUGUUCGAGCGUCAUUUCAACCCUCAAGCCCCCGGGUUUGGUGUUGGGGAUCGGCUCUGCCCUUCUGGGCGGUGCCGCCCCCGAAAUACAUUGGCGGUCUCGCUGCAGCCUCCAUUGCGUAGUAGCUAACACCUCGCAACUGGAACGCGGCGCGGCCAUGCCGUAAAACCCCAACUUCUGAAUGUUGACCUCGGAUCAGGUAGGAAUACCCGCUGAACUUAAGCAUAUCAAUAAGCGGAAGA